Long non-coding RNA from Micropterus salmoides (largemouth bass), 2729 nucleotides. RefSeq lists it as uncharacterized. The transcript has 2 exons. Lineage: Eukaryota; Metazoa; Chordata; Actinopteri; Centrarchiformes; Centrarchidae. The record is from RefSeq and is a predicted model, not a curated record.
GGCGAUGGCCCGCCAUGCCCAGGGGAAGUCCACCACCUGCGCAUGGACCACCCGGAUGUAGCGCUCAUAGGCCAGGGCUGCCAAAGUCAUGAUGGAAACGAUACCUGGCAGUGGAGGGAGACAGAUAGAUAGCUGUGGUUUGUCCUUCUCCAUGUGAGUGCGGGCCAAAGCAGUAGGACACCACAUCCUUUCUGCUCAGUGUCAUUUCAGUGAUGAAAGAACACACUUUUUAAGCUUUUGAUUUGAAAAUCUCCUCUGUGACAUUUUUUCAGUGAAAACCAGAUCAACACAGUUGGCAGGUAAACAUGUUCUUUAGAUCAUGUGCAAAGAAGCCAAUGUCAAGUAAAGGACAAUAAGAUGAUUGAAGAAGAGGGCAACAGUCCAGUGCAUCUCUGUGUUUAGUUUACUGAUAAAGCACCAAAGGAUUGAGGGUUUGCCCUAAUGAGCUCAUUAUCACACAUUCAUCCUCCUACAGGCGUGGGACCUGGAGAACAAACCCUUAGAGGACAAGUCACAGCUGAACACAGUUAUGCUUUCUAAUAAAUGUGUUACAGAAAAAUGGAUGCUGAGAUUAACAUUCCUCUGAAUGAAGCAAUGACCUGCAGAAUAUGCUCACUAACACACAUGCCGUUUCAUAAAGAAAGAAAGAAAUAGUAGGGGAGACCAGGGAUGGUUGUGACAAAGGGACGUUUGUAAAAGCACCACUUUCAUUCAAGAAGGGAUGACCUAAAAUUUGUGAUCAAUGUCAUGCAUGAGCGCUUCCUUCCUGACCUUGCAUGUGAAAUGUCACAUAUGUUUGAAGAAGUAUGCAGACAUUACAGCCAAAACACUGAUUUUCAUGUAAGAAGGUAUUUUUUGGAUAAAGUCUAUAUUUCGAUUAAUACUUAUACAGUUGACGUUAGAAUUCUAUGAAACUUUUAUUAGAUUAGUACACUAGCCAUGAGGGUCAAAACACAACAACAUUUUACAAUUCAAUUCAAAUUAGCUUUAUUGGCAUGAAUGUGUAACAACAAUAUUGCCAAAGCAUCAUACAAACUACAUACAAUAAACCCCCCAUGACAUUUCAGAUUACAGCAAGAGAGUAGAAUUAGGUAGGGACAGUAGGGACAUGUCCCUUCCAAUAUCCAGUAAAUAAUGAAUUGUCUCUAGCACUAAUUUUGAUUUAAAAAAUUCUAAAUUAACACCGUCAGUGUCAAUGUAUUUGUUACGCAACGGUUAAUAUAAACCAAAAGUUGUUGUUGUAGAGUAUUAGGGCCACUGUUAGUGGUAUAGUAAUCUGAAAUGCCGUUGUGUUUUCAGAAAUGUUGUUCUUUUGUGCAAUAAUAUUUUGUGCAAUGUUGUUAUUUCAUGAAAUAUUUUUAUUUUGUGAAAUGUCGUUAUUUUUUGAAAUGUCGUUAUUUUUUGAAAUGUCGUUAUUUUUUGAAAUGUCGUUAUUUUGUCAAAUGUUAUUUUGUGAAUUGUCGUUAUUUUGUGAAAUUUUAUUUUGUAAAAUGUUAUUCUGUGAAAUGUUAUUUUUUGAAAUGUUGUUAGUUUGUGAAAUGUUAUUUGUGAAAUUUUGUUUUAUGUACUGUUGUUAUUGUGUGACAUGUCAUUAUUGAGUGAAAUUUUCUUUUGUGAAAUGUUACUUGUGAAAUUUUGUUUUAUGUAAUGUUGUGAAAUGUUGUUAUUGUGUGAAAUGUCAUUAUUGAGUGAAAUUUUCUUUUGUGAAAUGUUAUUUGUGAAAUGUAAUUUUGUGAAAUAUUGUUAUUUUUUGAAAUAUUGUUAUUUUUUGAAAUAUUGUUAUUUUUUGAAAUAUUGUUAUUUUGUGAUAUUUUGUUUUGUGAAAUGUCAUUGUUUAGUGAAAAGUCAGUGGUGAGUUGUUUUUGUUCUCUGAUGGGACCACACUGCUCAAGUAUUGCGACAUGGACAAUUAUUUUCUUCAGAUGCAUUUUUGUGUUGUGGUCUCAAUUUCUGUCUGCAGGGCAGGUUGUAACUCUGGAACUCCUUAUAGUUGACAUCAAUUAAUAAGUUAUGUGAUUAAGUUGGAGAAGUUGGAAACAAAGCUAUUUGUAGUGGUCAAAUUGGGGUACUUUCUGUCAAACUUCGAGAGCUCUAACACAAAAAUUCAGUGUUACAACCAUCCCCGGUCUCCCCUAUAAUAUAGGCUAUAUUAUUCAAUUUAAUUCAAAGCUUUAUUGGCAUGAAUGUGUAACAACAACAUUGCAAAAGUGCAAUCUACAUAAGAACAAUCAACCCCAUACAUUUCAUUUAACAAGUAGCAUCAGUAUCAGUACCUAUAUUAUUCAAACGGUUUCAAGGUCUUUAGAUUUUACUGCAGCUCAUUAUGAAGUGAGACUGGAUGGUCAGUAAACUGUUUUUGACCCAAUCUGUAUUUUAACCGGCCACAUAUUCUGUGAGGAAGUGUGCACAAUAGCUAUAUGAUGCUCAGCUUUAGCCUAUAUUUACAUACAUUUUAUAAUAAAUAAAUAUUUUUUUAUUUGGAAUAUACUUUAUAGUAAUAUAUUGUGGAUGAGCUCAUCUCUGCCUUCUACAUAUUUGCAUUACGUUAUGGUGCAUUUAUUAUGGAUUAUGUCAGAAUCCGAUUUUAGUAGAUAAGUGAGAAACGAGCAAUUAUGGGGAAAUAGAGGUAAAGCUGAAAUACAUUUGUCUUGAACUAAUUGUUUAAAAAGUUUAAACAACAAAUGACAACAGCCUAUUGAUGAAUGUGAAAUACACGCUUGUAAAAUAAA